This 468-nucleotide ribosomal RNA is filed under the name uncultured bacterium. RNAcentral's name for it is "partial 16S ribosomal RNA". It matches the Rfam family "Bacterial small subunit ribosomal RNA", at positions 28 to 507 of the family's 1533-position model. The record is from RNAcentral.
GAUGAACGCUGGCGGCGUGCUUAACACAUGCAAGUCGAACGGAAAGGCCAGUGCUUGCACUGGUACUCGAGUGGCGAACGGGUGAGUAACACGUGGGUGAUCUGCCCUGCACUUCGGGAUAAGCCUGGGAAACUGGGUCUAAUACCGGAUAGGACAAUGGUUUGGAUGCCGUUGUGGAAAGUUUUUUCGGUGUGGGAUGAGCUCGCAGCCUAUCAGCUUGUUGGUGGGGUAAUGGCCUACCAAGGCGUCGACGGGUAGCCGGCCUGAGAGGGUGUACGGCCACAUUGGGACUGAGAUACGGCCCAGACUCCUACGGGAGGCAGCAGUGGGGAAUAUUGCACAAUGGGAGCAAGCCUGAUGCAGCGACGCCGCGUGGGGGAUGACGGCCUUCGGGUUGUAAACUCCUUUCGCUAGGGACGAAGCGUAUUUGUGACGGUACCUGGAGAAGAAGCACCGGCUAACUACGUG